Molecule: ribosomal RNA, 809 nt
Filed under: Escherichia coli
Lineage: Bacteria; Pseudomonadati; Pseudomonadota; Gammaproteobacteria; Enterobacterales; Enterobacteriaceae
Description: partial 23S ribosomal RNA
Rfam family: Bacterial large subunit ribosomal RNA
Source: RNAcentral
AACCCGGUGAUCUAGCCAUGGGCAGGUUGAAGGUUGGGUAACACUAACUGGAGGACCGAACCGACUAAUGUUGAAAAAUUAGCGGAUGACUUGUGGCUGGGGGUGAAAGGCCAAUCAAACCGGGAGAUAGCUGGUUCUCCCCGAAAGCUAUUUAGGUAGCGCCUCGUGAAUUCAUCUCCGGGGGUAGAGCACUGUUUCGGCAAGGGGGUCAUCCCGACUUACCAACCCGAUGCAAACUGCGAAUACCGGAGAAUGUUAUCACGGGAGACACACGGCGGGUGCUAACGUCCGUCGUGAAGAGGGAAACAACCCAGACCGCCAGCUAAGGUCCCAAAGUCAUGGUUAAGUGGGAAACGAUGUGGGAAGGCCCAGACAGCCAGGAUGUUGGCUUAGAAGCAGCCAUCAUUUAAAGAAAGCGUAAUAGCUCACUGGUCGAGUCGGCCUGCGCGGAAGAUGUAACGGGGCUAAACCAUGCACCGAAGCUGCGGCAGCGACGCUUAUGCGUUGUUGGGUAGGGGAGCGUUCUGUAAGCCUGCGAAGGUGUGCUGUGAGGCAUGCUGGAGGUAUCAGAAGUGCGAAUGCUGACAUAAGUAACGAUAAAGCGGGUGAAAAGCCCGCUCGCCGGAAGACCAAGGGUUCCUGUCCAACGUUAAUCGGGGCAGGGUGAGUCGACCCCUAAGGCGAGGCCGAAAGGCGUAGUCGAUGGGAAACAGGUUAAUAUUCCUGUACUUGGUGUUACUGCGAAGGGGGGACGGAGAAGGCUAUGUUGGCCGGGCGACGGUUGUCCCGGUUUAAGCGUGUAGGCUGGU